CGCUCACAUUGGAAUAUUCAUGAAUCGGGAACUAGGCGAAUAGAAACAGAGUUUUUUUCGAUCCUAAAUAUGGUAACACUAUCAACGUCUCUAUUACCGGGAACAAGGUGGCGAUGCUGCAGUCCAGAAUAGAUGGCUUCUCUAGAACAAUUGAGUUCUUAAGGAACUCUGACAUCCUGCGUCGCGUUCUUGUGACAAACUUCGUGCAAAUUUUAUUCCAUUGGCUGAAUGCCGAUCAUUUUGUUACUUUUGGCCUCAGGCCAAUAUUAUUCGCGGAACUGGUUGUGGUUAAGCAAAAUGUUGCCAUCAGAAAUGUUCGUCAACAUAUUUUUCAGACGUUCGUCCGGAACCUUCUCCUCUCUGGAUUCGAGAUAUCUACAAGGGAAAUUUGGUACGCAGAAGAUGCAUAAAGUUGAUUGACGCACGCGUCUCGCGUUGAAGCUUGUUUUCUACGUGCUAGCGUGCACGCUAACCAACACUAACCAGUGGGUCAAACGUUCUGCAUGACACAUAGCCUACUGCUCGCCCAAGUUCGCGUCCAAGCAACGAUACGUGGAGUUCUGCAUGAAACGGUGCACACAUGCUCGUACCACGUGCCAGUCACGUGCUCGACGCGAGAGGAAGUAAGUGGCCUAUCCUGAAUGAUUACCGAAUUAUCGAAGGUACGAAAAACUGUAAAAAAGCAUUACUACUUUAACCAGA
Long non-coding RNA from Bombus pascuorum, 702 nucleotides. RefSeq lists it as uncharacterized. The transcript is spliced from 4 exons. The record is from RefSeq and is a predicted model, not a curated record. NCBI's taxonomy places the organism in Eukaryota, Metazoa, Arthropoda, Insecta, Hymenoptera, Apidae.